Molecule: ribosomal RNA, 458 nt
Filed under: uncultured bacterium
Lineage: Bacteria
Description: partial 16S ribosomal RNA
Rfam family: Bacterial small subunit ribosomal RNA
Source: RNAcentral
CCUACGGGAGGCAGCAGUGAGGAAUAUUGGUCAAUGGACGAGAGUCUGAACCAGCCAAGUAGCGUGAAGGAUGACUGCCCUAUGGGUUGUAAACUUCUUUUAUAUGGGAAUAAAAUGUUCCACGUGUGGGAUUUUGUAUGUACCAUAUGAAUAAGGAUCGGCUAACUCCGUGCCAUCAGCCGCGGUAAUACGGAGGAUCCGAGCGUUAUCCGGAUUUAUUGGGUUUAAAGGGAGCGUAGGUGGAUUGUUAAGUCAGUUGUGAAAGUUUGCGGCUCAACCGUAAAAUUGCAGUUGAAACUGGCAGUCUUGAGUACAGUAGAGGUGGGCGGAAUUCGUGGUGUAGCGGUGAAAUGCUUAGAUAUCACGAAGAACUCCGAUUGCGAAGGCAGCUCACUGGACUGCAACUGACACUGAGGCUCGAAAGUGUGGGUAUCAAACAGGAUUAGAUACCCUUGUUC